GAUGAACGCUGGCGGCGUGCCUAAUACAUGCAAGUCGAGCGCGACUGAUUUCACCGUCCUUCGUGACACCGUCAUCAUUGGGCGGCUGACGGGUGAGUAACACGUGGUCAACCUACCCUUAAGACUGGGAUAACCGCGGUAAACCGUGGCUAAUGCCGGAGAAUACUUUUAUACAACGGUAUGUUAGUUGGGAGGUGGAUUUCUAUCACUUAAAGAUGGGCCUGCGGCGUAUUGGCUGGUUGGUAAGGUAACGGCUUACCAAGGCGACGAUGCGUAGCCGACCUGAGAGGGUGAUCGGCCACACUGGAACUGAGACACGGUCAAGACUCCUACGGGAGGCAGCAGUAGGGAAUCUUCCGCAAUGGGCGAAAGCCUGACGGAGCAACGCCGCGUGUGAGAAGAAGGUCUUCGGAUCGUAAAGCACUGUUGUUAAGGAAGAACGACAGUAAGCGUAACUGUUUACUGUGUGACGGUACUUAAUCAGAAAGCCACGGCUAACUACGUG
Molecule: ribosomal RNA, 505 nt
Filed under: uncultured bacterium
Lineage: Bacteria
Description: partial 16S ribosomal RNA
Rfam family: Bacterial small subunit ribosomal RNA
Source: RNAcentral